Molecule: non-coding RNA, 96 nt
Organism: Ceratotherium simum simum (southern white rhinoceros)
Lineage: Eukaryota; Metazoa; Chordata; Mammalia; Perissodactyla; Rhinocerotidae
Source: RefSeq, a predicted model, not a curated record
AUAUUUUCUCAUCAAGCAUGUCUUUUCUGAGCAUGCCUCCAGCCCUGGGCAUGUGUGUGGCCUUCCAGAUUCCCUGGUAUAGGCAGGAGAUUUUCA